This is a non-coding RNA of Dermacentor albipictus, 6277 nucleotides long. NCBI's taxonomy places the organism in Eukaryota, Metazoa, Arthropoda, Arachnida, Ixodida, Ixodidae. The record is from RefSeq and is a predicted model, not a curated record.
ACCCAAUGCAAAAGAAAAACACAUCGACAUCGACGUACUUAGCGUGUUCACCACUAUGCUUUCUCCUGUAGGGUUACCUAGACCUUAAAGCGUGUGGUAGUCAAAGCUUUAUUCUAUAGUUAAAGUGUGGCACGACUUGCAAUAGAACAAUGGAACCGUUGAAAAAACGCAAGAAGCGUGGACAUUACAAGAAAUACUUGAAUCCUGGUGCCAAGUUCUUCGUGCCUAGGUCUACAGAUUCAUCGGCGCGGCUCCGAAUGGCAGGUGCAGAAGCGAAAUCCCAGCCGGGCAGUGUUUCCUGCGAUCUUAACCUGGACGACAGCAUAAUGACGCACCGAGAAUGCAACGCGGAGGCGUCAACUGCGCCGGUCGACGCACAUUGCAUGGAAUAUUCCCAGGACGGUCGUGCAGCGUCUGCUAUAAACGAAUUCUCCAGCAGUAAUGUGCGCGGAUGUGUCUUUCCCGGAAAUGUCGAUUUGGUAGAACCUAACAAAGAUGCACAAGAGCAAGCCUCAGAAAAAAAGGACUUCAGCCAGCCAGACGCGCAACACGAAGAUUCUGGACAAGGGGAGCACUGCAGCCUGCCAGUUGCUCAAGACGAAGAAUCUGGACAAGGGGAGGACUUGAGCCAGCCAUAUGUUCAAGAGGAAGACUCGGAGAUUGAAGUUCCCUGUUUUUCGAAUUCUGCCUGCGGUCUGCUAGGUGAACUGUUUGGCGAAAUUGUUCAAGACAGUGUUGCCGUUUCGAAAGGUGAUAUUCUGCUCAUGGUCUUAAAAUUUGCUGUCCAGCACAGCUUGACAUUUUCAGCACUAAUGGAUUUGGUUGAAAUGAUUAACUUGUUUUUUGAAAGGCCAGUUCUUGCCCAUUCUCAGCACAUACUAAAGAAAAUAAUUGAAGGAUCUGGCACGCCAAUGGGUUUCCAUUUCUUUUGUCCAGAAUGUUCCUUGUACAUAGGUCGCGUUGAUCCAAGUUCGCCCUUUCAGUGCUCGCGAUGCAACCGCAACAUAUGUUUUUCAUUAGUCAACAAUGUUUGUUUUUUUGUACUUUUUGAUAUACCUUCGCAACUCCAAAAGGCACUGAAGGGAUGCGACUUCUUAGACCUGACAAAGCCUCUUGAAGCAAAAGACAGUUUUUCAGAUAUUUGGGAUGGAGACCUGUACCGUGAUUUUGUGGCCUCGACAGCAAAUGCUGGGCAUAGAAUUAGUUUUAUGUUAAAUGCAGAUGGCGCACCCCUUUUUAAAUCAAGUGGUACUGCAAUUUGGCCCAUUCAGUUGGUUGUAAAUGAACUGCCAGUCACACAAAGAAUGCAUAAAGUGAUUUUGGCUGCCUUGUGGUUUGGCAAGAAAAAGCCUGACAUGGUGCUCUUUCAGGAUGCAUUUGUUGAUUCUGUAAAUGACCUUUCUCAGAAAGGAUUCAGUCUUGAGCACACUGGCAGUAAAAAAAAUUUCAAGGCCUUCUGCAUUUGUUGCGCUGUAGAUUCAGUCGCCAGGGCACCAAUGCAGGGUGUAAUGCAGUUUAAUGCAUAUUACGGAUGCUAUUGGUGCCUUCAAAAGGGUGAAAGAGUUCUACGUUCCACAAAGUACCCAGUACAGCAAACGGUACAGGAAAGAACGGAGCUGCAAAUGAUGCAGGAUAUGCGAGAAGCUGUUGCUCAAGGCAGGCCCGUAAAUGGUGUCAGAACUGUGUCACCACUGAUCAGGUUGGAGCACUUUAAUAUAGUGUGGGGGUUCGUCCCUGGCUAUAUGCAUUGCAUAUUGCUUGGUGUUGCAAGGCAGUUCAUGGAACUGUGGUUGGAUGACACUAGUUGCAAGUUUUAUAUGGGAGCACAGCAAGGUGUCAUUGACACAAGAAUAAUGGCAAUCACUCCUCCUGCAAAUGUGAAAAGAAUGCCAAGGCCAACAAGGGAACGCAAAUUCUGGAAAGCAAAGGAAUGGGAGAAUUGGCUCCUGUUUUAUAGCUUGCCAGUUUUAGAGGGCAUAGCUGAUCGCUCAUGCAUACAACAUUGGGCCUGCCUGGUGGAAGCAUUGCAUAUCAUGCUGCAGAAAGAAAUCGCAUCGUCACACCUUACUCUUUGCGAAGAACUCUUACUAGAGUUUCAUGUUCGAGCUGAGCUGUUCUAUGGUAAAAGUUCCAUGACCUUUAACAUGCACCAACUAACUCAUAUUGGAAAGAGUGUGCACCAGUGGGGUCCUCUCUGGGCACACUCUGCAUUUCCAUUUGAAGCGGGUAAUGGUUGCCUAAAAAAGGCAGUGAAGUCAGCAAAUGGGAUCCCCCACCAAAUCUGCCGUAUGCUGCAAGUGGAGGAAACUAUUGAGGUUCUAUUGGCCACAGCUGCUGAACCAAGAGUUCUUGCUUACUGCAACUCGCUGGAUGCCAAGGAAACUCAGAAAACCCUCAAAGUGAUGGGAGAUGUUCGUUUGUUUGGAAGGGGUGUUCCAUUCUCUCUAUCAAGUAGGCUGUCUGAAGGUGCUAGUGAACUUGCCAACAGUGUGCAGUAUCCCCGAAUGCUCAAGGGAGGUGUUGUUUUCACUGGGAGAGAGUAUUUUGAAGAAAAAGAACUAAUAGUUCUGUAGUACAACUUAUUGAUAAUACCUAUGCAAUUAUUGAAAACAUAAUUUGCAAAAACCAAUCAGAAGCUUUUGUUGUUGUUAAGCCCUUGAAGUGCAAGCCCUUAAAGUACAGUCUAGUGACAAUGCAACACCUGCUAAAGGCUGUAGAAGAACUAUCAACGGAAAUUAUAAUUCCAGCUACAAAGAUUGCGACUGUUUGUGUGUUUUUAAAGACUCAAGGAAAUACCUACAUCUCGCCAGUACCAAGCUCAUUUACAAUGUAGCCAAUAAGAUGAAAAGGUGCAAUUAUGUGCCUCACUAUGUUAUUAGCAAUAUUGGUUUUCAGUUUCACCUGCGGAUUUUUUUACUGUGCCCCUGGUUGCAGAAAAGUGCCUGUUACUGCACGAAAAUUGAGCACAUGCUGGACGCCGUAGUUAAUGUCUUUGGAUUAGUUCUGACUUAGCCGAUCAAUGAGUUAGCGGUAAGAGGGAAAAUAGAGGAAUUCCAGAUCAAGCUACACAACAGGUAUUCGGCUUUAACUCAGGAAGAGGACCUUAGUGUUGAAGCAAUGAACGACAAUCUUGUGGGCAUCAUUAAGGAGUGUGCAAUGGGAGUCGGUGGUAACUCUGUUAGGCAGGAUACCAGUAAACUAUCGCAGGAGACAAACGAUCUGAUCAAGAAACGCCAAUGUAUGAAAGCCUCUAACCCUACAGCUAGAAUAGAACUGGCAGAACUUCCGAAGUUAAUCAACAAGCGUAAGACAGCUGACAUAAGGAAGUAUAAUAUGGAUAGAAUUGAACAUGCUCUCAGGAAUGGAGGAAGCCUAAAAACAGUGAAGAAACUGGGAAUUGGCAAUAAUCAGAUGUAUGCGUUAAGAGACAAAGCCGGCACUAUCACUACUAAUAUGGAUGAGACAGUACAAGUGGCUGAGGAGUUCCAUAGAGUUUUUACAGUACCAGUGGCACCCACGACGAUAAUGGAAGAGAAAAUAGUCUAGAGGAAUUCGAUAUCCCACAGGUAACGCCGGAAGAAGAAAGGAAAGCCUUGGGAUAUACGCAAAGGGGGAAGGCAGCAGGGGAGGAUCAGAUAACAGCAGAUUUGUUGAAGGAUGGUGGGCAGAUUGUUCUAGAGAAACUGGCCACCCUUUAUACGCAAUGCCUCAUGACCUCGAGCGUACCAGAAUCUUGGAAGAAUGCUAACAUAAUUCUAAUCCAUAAGAAAGGGGACGCCAAAGACUUGAAAAAUUAUAGACCGAUCAGCUUACUGUCCGUUGUCUACAAACUACUUACUAAGGUAAUCGCAAAUACAAUCAGGAACACCUUAGACUUCUGUCAAGAAAAGGACCAGGCAGGAUUCCGUAAAGGCUACUCAACAAUAGAUCAUAUUCUCACUAUCAAUCAGGUGAUAGAGAAAUGUGUGGAAUAUAACCAACCCUUAUAUAUAGCUUUCAUUGAUUACGAGAAAGCGUUUGAUUCUGUCGAAACCUCAGCAGUCAUGGAGGCAUUACGGAAUCGGGGUGUAGACGAACCGUAUGUAAAAAUACUGAAAGAUAUCUAUAGUUGCUCCACAGCCACCGUAGUCCUUCAUAAAGAAAGCAACAAAAUCCCAAUAAAGAAAGGCGUCAGGCAGGGAGAUACGACCUCUCCAAUGCUAUUCACAGUGUGUUUACCGGAGGUAUUCAGAGACCUGGAUUGGGAAGAAUUGGGGAUAAAAGUUAUUGGAGAAUACCUUAGUAACAUGCGAUUCGCUGAUGAUAUUGCCUUGCUUAGUGACUCAGGGGACCAAUUGCAAUGCAUGCUCACUGACCUGGAGAGGCAAAGCAGAAGAGUGGGUCUAAAAAUUAAUCUGCAGAAAACUAAAGUAAUGUUGAACAGUCUCGGAAGAGAACAGCAAUUUACAAUAGGCAGCGAGGCACUGGAAGUCGUAAGGGAAUACAUCUACUUAGGGCAGGUAGUGAUGGCGGAUCCGGAUCAUGAGACGGAAAUAAUCAGAAGAAUAAGAAUGGGCUGGCAUACGUUUGGCAGGCAUUCUCAGAUCACGAACAGCAGGUUGCCAUUAUCCUUCAAGAGAAAAGUGUAUAAUAGCUGUGUCUUACCACUACUCACCUACGGGGCAGAAACCCGGAGGCUUACGAAAAGGGUUCUACUCAAAUUGAGGACGACGCAACGAGCUAUGGAAAGAAGAAUGAUACGUGUAACGUCAAGGGAUAAGAAAAGAGCAGAUUGGGUGAGGGAACAAACGCGAGGUAAUGACAUCUUAGUUGAAAUCAAGAAAAAUAAGUGGGCAUGAGAACGACAUGUAAUGAGGAGGGAAGAUAACCGAUGGUCAUUAAGGGUUACGGAUUGGAUUCCAAGGGAAGGGAAGCGUAGCAGGGGGCGGCAGAAAGUUAGGUGGGCGGAUGAGAUUAAGAAGUUUGCAGGGACGGCAUGGCCACAAUCAGUACAUGACCGGGGUUGUUGGAGAAGUAUGGGAGAGGCCUUCGCCCUGCUGUGGACGUAACCAGGCUGAUGAUGAUGAUAAUGACUUAGUCUUUUUCCACCUCUUUGAGCACUGCUUGUCAGUACUAUAGACUUUUUCCUCAGCAUAAUAAUGCUCACUUUAAUUAACACAGUUGGCCAAUUUUGCAGUGCAAAAUGUAAGGAUCUUAUAGAAAGAAUAAGUGGUUAAAAUUUUAUAAUUUAAAUGAAUUAGAUAUCUGUUAUGGUUAUCUUGACGUCAUAUUUUUAUGAUUUUAGUAACACUACAAACCAUGCGAAAUUUUUUGAAUUGCGCAUUCACACACACUGUCCUGAAGGGACACGAAAUUAUACUAUGAGGGUAAUUUUGGCUUUUGCUUGUUGCACAUUAGGGAUGUGUGAUGUGUUUAUCAGCUUCAUUUGGAAAUAUCCACAUUUGCAGCUUUCUUGUAUAGCCUUCACCUUCUAUUCUCUUCGUUUAGCAUUAUGUAAAGUAGUCUAUAGAGCCGAUUGGGGCACACAUUUCGUGUGUAACACUCGUGAAACUGUUUGCUUUAUAGUUGAUUGGGGCACACAUUUCGUGUGUAACACUCGUGAAACUGUUUGCUUUAUAGCCGAUUGGGGCACACAUUUCGUUUGUAAUACUCGUGAAACUGUUUGCUUUAUAGCCGAUUGGGGCACACAUUUCAUUUGUAACACUCGUGAAACUGUUUGCUUUAUAGCCGAUUGGGGCACACAUUUCGUGUGUAACACUCGUGAAACUGUUUGCUUUAUAGCCGAUUGGGGCACACAUUUCGUGUGUAACACUCGUGAAACUGUUUGCUUUAUAGCCGAUUGGGGCACACAUUUCGUGUGUAACACUCGUGAAACUGUUUGCUUUAUAGCCGAUUGGGGCAAACAUAUCGUGUGUAACACUCGUGAAACUGUUUGCUUUAUAGCCGAUUGGGGCACACAUUUCAUGUGUAACACUCGUGAAACUGUUUGCUUUAUAGCCGAUUGGGGCACACAUUUCGUUUGUAACACUCAUGAAACUGUUUGCUUUAUAGCCGAUUGGGGCACACAUUUCGUGUGUAACACUCGUGAAACUGUUUGCUUUAUAGCCGAUUGGGGCACACAUUUCGUGUGCAACACUCGUGAAACUGUUUGCUUUAUAGCUGAUUGGAGCACACAUUUCGUGUGUAACACUCAUGAAACUGUUUGCUUUUAGGCAUCAUGACCAUUUGUGAAAUUAGUGUUCUUAUUGGAUUUUUUGUUUCAUGAAUAAAUGAUUGG